UGGGGAAUAUUACACAAUGGGCGCAAGCCUGAUGCAGCCAUGCCGCGUGUGUGAAGAAGGCCUUCGGGUUGUAAAGCACUUUCAGCGGGGAGGAAGGCGAUAAGGUUAAUAACCUUGUCGAUUGACGUUACCCGUAGAAGAAGCACCGGCUAACUCCGUGCCAGCAGCCGCGGUAAUACGGAGGGUGCAAGCGUUAAUCGGAAUUACUGGGCGUAAAGCGCACGCAGGCGGUUUGUUAAGUCAGAUGUGCAAUCCCCGGGCUCAACCUGGGAACUGCAUCUGAUACUGGCAAGCUUGAGUCUCGUAGAGGGGGGUAGAAUUCCAGGUGUAGCGGUGAAAUGCGUAGAGAUCUGGAGGAAUACCGGUGGCGAAGGCGGCCCCCUGGACGAAGACUGACGCUCAGGUGCGAAAGCGUGGGGAGCAAACAGG
Molecule: ribosomal RNA, 429 nt
Filed under: Chloroflexota bacterium
Lineage: Bacteria; Bacillati; Chloroflexota
Description: Chloroflexi bacterium partial 16S ribosomal RNA
Rfam family: Bacterial small subunit ribosomal RNA
Source: RNAcentral